Ostrinia nubilalis (European corn borer) is the source of this 2377-nucleotide long non-coding RNA. RefSeq lists it as uncharacterized. The transcript has 3 exons. NCBI's taxonomy places the organism in Eukaryota, Metazoa, Arthropoda, Insecta, Lepidoptera, Crambidae. The record is from RefSeq and is a predicted model, not a curated record.
UUUUAUAGUUUUGCUUUCGUUAGCAAACUUAACGCACCGAGACUAUAAAAACAGUACGAUCAUUAUUAAUUGAAAGUUAAGUUUUAAUACCUUCUUUAUCGUAUACGUGCAGUAGGGUAGGCUAGGACGCGCGCCGCGAUUAUCUUUUCUUUUAUCGCGCUAUUUUUUCGAUUUAACGCGAUAAGCCCAGAGACGUUUGUCGUCAAAAAUCAUCGAUAAGAUUUUAUCACGGUGCGCAUCCUAGCCCGGAUGAACGAUUUAACUGUAGGUACCAUCGACAACAGUGUUAACUAUCCAUUGCCUGUCAUGUCGUCUCGUUCUAUCGCAAAGAAUCGCCAUUUGAUGAGAGCGAGAGCAAAAACGGAAAUGGAUAGUUAACAGUGUGGCCGUGUGUACAGAACUGAACAUUAUCUGAAGUAUAAAUAAGUUACAAAAACAACAUAAGCCUAGUAUGACUGUAUGACUAGCUAGAGUAUGUAGGUACCUAUGUUAAAAAUAGUUUACGAAACGUUAUGAGGUCGUAAACAAAAAAACGUUAUUCAUUCGAGGAAGCUUCAGUUAAUAGUGAAAUGAUUGGGCUUUUGAUUCGAAUCGUAAGCAUACCGGCAAGUAAUCGAUUCGAGAAGCCAAAUCCAACAAAAGUUAGUAUUGCUAAAUGGACGGAACCUGAGGACGGAACGGACCUAACCCAUGAAGCUAAAGAUAAAAAUGGAGGGCAGAGUUGGAACAAAAACUUGAGUCAAAUACCUACUUAUAUCUAUCUCGCUCUCUGCGGCCCUACCUCUCUUUUUAGUGUGAACUGUAGUAUUGCUAUCUUCUGAUUUAAAUCUCCUUGUAAAUUCUUCGAAAUAGCCAAUUCACUAACCAAAUCAGAAGUUAAACAAAUAAAUAAUUAAUAUUUGAAACUAAGAUUACCUAGUUAAAUAAAAAAUCACAAAAUUGUCGGCCAUUUGGGCUUAAUGUGUUGGCGAAUCAGGGAAUUACAAUCCCAAUUCCUGGGUAAUCGGUACCAUGUGGCAACAUCGGCCCAAUCCGGCCCAUCAUGGCGGUUGUUUACUAUUUUGUUUAUUAAGCAGUUAAUUUCGUUUGAGAUUGUUUACAGGAAAUAAUCAUUGUUUUAUCACAAGAAUUGGUGCAAAAUUUUGUAGUGCGUGGUUGCGGUAGUACGUGGUGUCCUGGAAGUGACAUAAGAUUCCACGCGUAAGUGUUUAUUUCGUGAUUUCCGACAUUGGAUCAUUGUAAACAUUUUUCACAUUUUUUACAGUAAUUUCUUCUUAAAACGUUUUACCAGUAAUUACACUUAUCAUUUUUAAUGAUACCUAUGUCAAGAAAUAAAGAUUUUACAUUGGUUUCAUUGAAUUUGAGCAAUUUUAUAUUUUUUGUUUAUUUAGAAAGAGCGAGUCUGCCCACAGAGAGCGAGAUAGUGAUACUUAGUUUGUGCUUCAAGUAGGUAUUCGGAGUGUGGCCUCCAUUUUUAUCUGUAGCUUCAUGACCUAACCUAUCUUAGCUCAUUAUGAUGUGGUUAAAAGGUUCGAAUAUCGGAAUUUUGCUCAGUGAACGCGUGUGUAAAGAAGUACCUACCAAAUAAACUUAUUGUUUUUUUUUCAUUAAUAUAAAAGCUAAACCGAAUUAGUAACAAACAAUUAUGAUGUGUCAAUAUUAAUUAAAUACAUUAUUAAGUAAGUAAAAUUUAAUUGUUGUAACCAUUUUUAUAAAUUAUGUCAUUGAAAUGCAGAAAAAUUAAUAACAUCUGUUGAUUUUUUUUUUAUACCCACUGACUUUUAAAAUCGAGUAAAUAGUCGGUAUCGAUCACCAUCGAUUACAAACAUCACCAUUAUGUGCUCUGAGGGCAUCACUAGCUGCAUUUAUAACCGCACAGCAUGAGCACAGUUGAUUGUCUAUGGUAGGGGAAUAAUUCCUAGAAACCUGAAGGAUAGUAAUGAAUCUUUGUAAUAUGUGCUUUGUUGAGAUUGGGUUUCAAUCCUUCGUUAAACGAGCGCUAAAUAAUCGUCUGCGCACAGAGCACGUAACAAUACGUGUGCGUUUAUUCUGAAGAUAUUCGAUUUCCCUUCUUGAUGGGUGUCUGUGCGGCAAUCGCAAUGGCGAUCGUGCAGGUAGUGGGUGGCGUGGUGUUGUACACUGGCAAGGGGCUGUGGCUGCUGAUGGUUCUCGGGUUCCGUGCCACGGGCGUGCUGGCCGGCAGCCUGGCGGCCGGCGCAGGGCUUCUUUGGGAACGUGCAGUCGGGCAGCGUCAUCGCGCAAUCAAUGUCCGCGGCAAUGAGGGGCGGUUAGAGGUACCUUUUACAGUGAAAAUAUCAUUUUAAUGCCUAAUGUAUUCUGCAAAGUGAAUUAUUGAAUUACAAUACAAUCACACAUA